AUUAGAGUUUGAUCCUGGCUCAGGAUGAACGCUGGCGGCGUGCUUAACACAUGCAAGUCGAGCGAAGCAGUUUUAAGGAAGUUUUCGGAUGGAAUUAAAACUGACUGAGCGGCGGACGGGUGAGUAACGCGUGGGUAACCUGCCUCAUACAGGGGGAUAACAGUUGGAAACGACUGCUAAUACCGCAUAAGCGCACAGUGCUGCAUAGCACAGUGUGAAAAACUCCGGUGGUAUGAGAUGGACCCGCGUCUGAUUAGGUAGUUGGUGGGGUAACGGCCCACCAAGCCGACGAUCAGUAGCCGACCUGAGAGGGUGACCGGCCACAUUGGGACUGAGACACGGCCCAAACUCCUACGGGAGGCAGCAGUGGGGAAUAUUGGACAAUGGGGGAAACCCUGAUCCAGCGACGCCGCGUGAGUGAAGAAGUGUUUCGGCAUGUAAAGCUCUAUCAACAGGGAAGAAAAUGACGGUACCUGACUAAGAAGCCCCGGCUAACUACGUGCCAGCAGCCGCGGUAAUAAU
RNAcentral lists this ribosomal RNA (522 nucleotides) under uncultured bacterium. RNAcentral's name for it is "bacterial SSU rRNA". It matches the Rfam family "Bacterial small subunit ribosomal RNA", at positions 1 to 526 of the family's 1533-position model. The record is from RNAcentral.